GAGCAGAGAGGGACAGCUCCGGGGCCCAAGCAGGUAGGAGGGUCAGAAAGGAGGCUGACAGCAUCUGGGAAAUGACAGCAGAUGACCACCAGGCAGGCUCGGGCGACAGGGUUGUGAGUGGGUUUAGGAUCAUAUCAGCAGCUGGGGCACCGGUUCAGCGGCACACGCAUCCUGAAGGUAGUGCGUGGAAUCCUCCAGAUCCCCUGGACCUGAGAGGCCCACGUGGAGAAGGUGGAGACCCUAGAGGUCCUGGAUUCUGGCUCCUGGCACACAGCCUCCAAUCCUCAUCCACCAGUGCCAGCUGGAACAGGAUCAAGCAGGCCCAGGUGCCUGCUGCACACAUUACUUUUCUGGGACUGCCUGGGAACUGUGUGCUCUUUCUGUCCUCCCCAGGGUGUAUCUCAUUCCAGUGCAGGGCCUCUGGACAGCCCAGGUUGGUGGCAUCCCCACCCUGGUACUCACACAGGUGGUGCUCUUCAUAGUGAUGUCAUUAGAAAGGACAUUUCUGCCAUUGUUCAGGCUGGCUUCAACAAAGACCUCCUUAAAGCACAGAAAGCGAAGAUGGUGAGAGCCAGCCCGGAGAGAUGCAGUUCUUGCCCUUGAGUCCAUUGGCUUAACUCUGAAAGGCGACCUGGAGCAACGGUACCAUUCCUCGGGCAAUCAUCUCCUGCAUCCUGCCCUCCUCACAGACCCUAGGACACUGCAGAUCCCUAGGACACUGCAGAUCCCUGAACACCUUGGGGGCCACCAACAAGGGAGGAAAUGACAUGGGAAGAAUGUCGAUGCACAUGUUCGUCCACUGUUCCUCCCACCUCCGGUCCUCAUCACGCAGAGCGGACCCUGUGGUCCACGACUGGCAUCUGGGCUCUGCUUUCCCAUUGCAGAGACCCCUGUGAGCACCCGCCACGCCCAGGCCCUGUGCAGCACUCUGAUGUGUAACAGGAAAGGCAGGCAGAGUCCCUGCUCUCAAGGACUCACCUUUAAGGACUGCAUGGGAGACAGACAACAAAAUUAAAAAUAGAGAACAAAAUAGAUGGCAGAGUGCAACGUGCUGUGAUGUCCAUGAGCAGAGGGAAGGAGAGGCACAGAGAGAAAGGGACAGCCGCUUCGUCACAGGCGACCAGAAGCAUUCGUGUGAUGUUCCACAGUUUCUUCAAUCCCAUUUCAUUUUCUUUUUCUUCCAUCAUAUUUAAGCAAAAUUAAAUUUAUUAUGUUGUAGUUGAAAAUGUUAAUAGCACUUGUCUUUGGGUUUGGGAUUUGGGGCAAUGUUUUUAUUCAUUAUGUUUUGUCUAUGUUUCUUUUUUCUACAUUGUAUCAUUUUUAUAAUAAAAUAUAAUUAACACU
This 1344-nucleotide long non-coding RNA is filed under the name Homo sapiens (human). RNAcentral's name for it is "HSALNT0162316". Lineage: Eukaryota; Metazoa; Chordata; Mammalia; Primates; Hominidae. The record is from RNAcentral.